RNAcentral lists this unclassified non-coding RNA (269 nucleotides) under Hevea brasiliensis (rubber tree). Lineage: Eukaryota; Viridiplantae; Streptophyta; Magnoliopsida; Malpighiales; Euphorbiaceae. The record is from RNAcentral.
CUCUUUCUCUCUACAGCUUCUUUGCUUAUAUGCAGAGCAACAACUAUGGAUAUUUUAGCACUUGAUGAUAUAAUCCAUCGUUUGCUUGAAGUUCGUGGGAGACCUGGUAAACAAGUACAACUUUCUGAGGCAGAAAUCAGACAGCUAUGUCUCAAGUCGAGAGAAAUUUUCUUGAAGCAGCCGAAUCUUCUUGAGCUUGAUGCACCCAUCAAGAUCUGCGGGGAUAUCCAUGGUCAGUACUCAGAUCUACUGAGGCUGUUUGAAUAUGG